Molecule: ribosomal RNA, 448 nt
Filed under: uncultured bacterium
Lineage: Bacteria
Description: bacterial SSU rRNA
Rfam family: Bacterial small subunit ribosomal RNA
Source: RNAcentral
UUUCGAAUCAUUCACAAUGGGCGAAAGCCUGAUGGUGCGACGCCGCGUGAGGGAUGAAGGUCUUCGGAUUGUAAACCUCUGUCACUGGGGAAGAAACGCUUUGAGUUAAUAGUUCAAAGCCUGACUUAACCCGGAGAGGAAGCAGUGGCUAACUCUGUGCCAGCAGCCGCGGUAAUACAGAGACUGCAAGCGUUAUUCGGAUUCACUGGGCGUAAAGGGUGCGCAGGCGGUUGGGUGUGUCAGAUGUGAAAUCCCGAGGCUUAACCUCGGAACUGCGUCUGAAACUACUCGACUAGAGUACUGGAGAGGGUAACGGAAUUCACGGUGUAGCAGUGAAAUGCGUAGAUAUCGUGAGGAACACCAGAGGCGAAGGCGGUUACCUGGACAGUUACUGACGCUCAGGCACGAAAGCAUGGGGAGCAAAAGGGAUUAGAUACCCCCGUAGUCC